RNAcentral lists this long non-coding RNA (844 nucleotides) under Sus scrofa (pig). RNAcentral's name for it is "lncRNA (ENSSSCG00045031055.1)". Lineage: Eukaryota; Metazoa; Chordata; Mammalia; Artiodactyla; Suidae. The record is from RNAcentral.
GCGUGGUACAGACAAUGAGUGCAUUUGUCUGUAGGGCGGGAAGCGGUUUCCCAGAGCGCACGAGAUUUGCAUAGGUGAAAGGGAACUCAUCUUUUACAGAAGAUGAAUUAUUCUAAAGGAAUCUUGCCCUAGGUUGUUUAGAGUACGGGUGCAUACAGAUUUCCUGGAUGAAACAGGAGGUGCUGCUAGCAAAAUGCCUUCUUUCUCACCUCGUGCAAUGUAAAAUAACCGAUACCACACUAAAAGCAAAUAUUUAAAAGUCGGAGGUGUAUCCGUGAGCCCCAGACACCGCCUUAGAAUCGUUUUCAAGCAACCACUUCUCUCAAGUUCACGCAAAGGAAAGGGAGGAAGAUGAGCAGAGUUUUAUUCGAGGAUCGUUGGAAGCAAGGACUUCAUUUCACAAAGCUUCCACAUUCAGAAAGAUUGCAGGAGGCAUACUUUGAUCAAGGAACAGGAAAAAAGCAGAGAACAAAUGAAGCAUGUUCUUUUAGUGAGAAGGAGGAAUGCAGAUGAGCCUGAGGAACGGAUGGACCUGAACCAGAAGACAGCACGUCUAAAGCACCUAAUCUCUGUCUACUCGAGUUUUCUGUCUGUUCCUUUAUCCAACUCUGUUGUACACAGCAGGAUUGGACUCUGGCUCCUGGCUUUAUAGUUCUAAUCACCCGGAGGACCUGACUGGAGACCUCUCCCUCCCAGUUCCAACUGUCUUAAGGGAAAAGUAAGGAAUCCGAGUGGCCCAGCUCAGAUUAGGUGACCAUCACCAAGAAACUUAACAAUACUUCAUAUUCUGGCGAUGGCAGAUAUGGGAAAGAGUGGGCAGGAAGAUUCGGCCAAUGGAAGAGAG